AGAGUUUGAUCCUGGCUCAGGAUGAACGCUAGCGGGAGGCUUAAUACAUGCAAGUCGAACGGUAAGGCCCCUUCGGGGGUACACGAGUGGCGGACGGGUGAGUAACGCGUACGCAAUCUACCUCUAACUGAGGAAUAGCCCCGAGAAAUUGGGAUUAAUACCUCAUAAUAUCCAUCUUACGCAUGUUUGAUGGAUUAAAACUCCGGUGGUUAGAGAUGAGCGUGCGUCCCAUUAGCUUGUUGGUAAGGUAACGGCUUACCAAGGCAACGAUGGGUAGCUGGCGUGAGAGCGCGAUCAGCCACACGGGCACUGAGACACGGGCCCGACUCCUACGGGAGGCAGCAGUAGGGAAUAUUGGACAAUGGGCGAAAGCCUGAUCCAGCCAUCCCGCGUGCAGGAUGAAUGCCCUCUGGGUUGUAAACUGCUUUUCUCAGGGAAGAAACCCCUCGAUUCAUCGAGGGCUGACGGUACCUGAGGAAUAAGCACCGGCUAACUCCGUGCCAGCAGCCGCGGUAAUACGGAGGGUGCAAGCGUUAUCCGGAUUUACUGGGUUUAAAGGGUGCGUAGGCGGAUUUGUAAGUCAGUGGUGAAAGCCUGGAGCUCAACUCCGGAAUUGCCAUUGAUACUGCUUAUCUUGAGUACAGUUGAGGUGGGCGGAAUGCAGCAUGUAGCGGUGAAAUGCUUAGAUAUGCUGCAGAACACCAAUUGCGAAGGCAGCUCGCUAAACUGUAACUGACGCUGAGGCACGAAAGCGUGGGGAGCGAGCAGGAUUAGAUACCCUGGUAGUCCACGCCCUAAACGAUGAUCACUCGACAUUUGCGAUAUACUGUAAGUGUCCUAGCGAAAGCGUUAAGUGAUCCACCUGGGGAGUACGUUCGCAAGAAUGAAACUCAAAGGAAUUGACGGGGGUCCGCACAAGCGGAGGAGCAUGUGGUUUAAUUCGAUGAUACGCGAGGAACCUUACCUGGGCUAGAAUGCUUUUGGAUCGCUUGGGAAACCAGGCUUUCUCUUAGGAGACCGAUUGCAAGGUGCUGCAUGGUUGUCGUCAGCUCGUGCCGUGAGGUGUUGGGUUAAGUCCCGCAACGAGCGCAACCCCUAUCCUUAGUUGCCAUCAGGUUAUGCUGGGGACUCUAAGGAAACUGCCUACGCAAGUAGUGAGGAAGGAGGGGACGACGUCAAAUCAUCAUGGCCUUUAUGUCCAGGGCUACACACGUGCUACAAUGGCCAGUACAAAGGGUUGCUACCUGGUGACAGGAUGCUAAUCUCAAAAAGCUGGUCUCAGUUCGGAUUGGAGUCUGCAACUCGACUCCAUGAAGCUGGAUUCGCUAGUAAUCGCGCAUCAGUAAUGGCGCGGUGAAUACGUUCCCGGACCUUGUACACACCGCCCGUCAAGCCAUGGGAGCUGGGUGUACCUGAAGACGAUAACCGUAAGGAGUCGUCCAAGGUAAAACUAGUGACUGGGGCUAAGUCGUAACAAGGUA
This 1481-nucleotide ribosomal RNA is filed under the name metagenome. RNAcentral's name for it is "bacterial SSU rRNA". It matches the Rfam family "Bacterial small subunit ribosomal RNA". The record is from RNAcentral.